This 199-nucleotide long non-coding RNA is filed under the name Elaeis guineensis (African oil palm). Its description in RNAcentral is "long non-coding RNA (EGUI_LNC037288)". The record is from RNAcentral. Lineage: Eukaryota; Viridiplantae; Streptophyta; Magnoliopsida; Arecales; Arecaceae.
CAUAGCUGUUAAUAAAAAAUUGAAGCUUGCCUUGACUAUGUCUUUAGUGGGGCCAUUAUAAUAUAAAAACUCAUCUUGACAUAUUGGCUGAUAAAAGAGGAGAAUUGCUCUCCUCUCUCCUUUAGUUUAACCAAACUUGCUCUCAUCCUUUCCCUCAAACUUCCAUGUAAAUACAAUGAACAUUUCAAUGAAUAGGCAC